AGGUGCGCUUUGCUUCCUAACCCGUUGCCGGGUUGGAGAUUCCACCUCCGAAGUUUUCUUUCUGACUUUUGAUUUUACAUUCCUAGUACAGUGGAGAAGCCCAGGCGGCCUAGAAUCCAGUGUCGUCCGUGAGUGCUUGGCUGGUGUUCAAGUGCAUCUUCCAGCCUGAGACCGCGUGGACUCGCUCAUCGUGAGGGCGAGAGGAGGAUAAGCCCAUUGGGCUGUCGGCUGAGAGUGAGGUGCGGGACCAUCCACAAUAUUGUUUGAACAUCUGAAGACAUGGGGAACUUGCCAUCUGAUAUCUGAUAACAGACUUCCUGUAAAGCAGGACUGGUAGUUUCCUGAUAACAAAUUCUUCAAUAUGAAGAUUGCUGAUGAAAUCCUUGGCAUCGUCGGAGAUCUCAUCGAAUGCCUCGUCGUCGAAGUCCCAGGUGGCUGAGGUAACGUUGGCCAAGGUUUCGUUAUCGUUGUCUCCCAUGAAGGGGGAAAGGCCACUGACUCUGGAGAGACAAGAGCAGGACAGCAGGUGUGGCUAGGAGAGGGCGCGACGACCAGACAAGUGGUUCAAGUCCUCUCAAGACCCAGCUAAGGAAGUAAAAAAACCUGAAGAGGGAUGGAAGACAGACCCACUAUUCCUCCCAGAGAAGACUGCCUGGAGACCAUGUGAUUGGCCACAGUUGGAGUUGUGUGGGCUUAUAAACGAAUGCACUCUGCCAACUGAUCUUCCUUCUGCUUUGGUCAAGAAAAGAAAACUGAGAAAUGGGUGUUGCAGAAGAGGUGCCAUUUGUACCCUACCCUGUUACACAUGUCUCUUGGCUGAAAAUGAGAACCUAUACAUGACAUAUGUGAUACGUAAGACUUGUCACACAAGAGAAGAUGCAAAAUUUGGGGCGAGGGACUUUAAUUCCAAGUAAAACUCCAACAUUUUUAA
This 931-nucleotide long non-coding RNA is filed under the name Homo sapiens (human). RNAcentral's name for it is "HSALNT0059719". Lineage: Eukaryota; Metazoa; Chordata; Mammalia; Primates; Hominidae. The record is from RNAcentral.